GGAUUGAAGGACAUGCGUUUUAGCUGUCUUUCGAUUUCAUAGUCUCCCCCUUAUCCUAUAAACUAAAGUCUUAGAAUGUCUUUUGUGGGUGUAAAACCUAUAAACUUAUACAACUUUCAACAACGGAUCUCUUGGCUCUCGCAUCGAUGAAGAACGCAGCGAAAUGCGAUAAGUAAUGUGAAUUGCAGAAUUCAGUGAAUCAUCGAAUCUUUGAACGCACCUUGCACUCCUUGGUAUUCCGAGGAGUAUGCCUGUUUGAGUGUCAUUAAAUUCUCAAACCUCAUAGGCUUUAUUGACUAUUGAGGCUUUGGAUGUGGGAGUUGCUGGCUUUUCACGAAGUCAGCUCUCCUUAAAUACAUUAGUGGUUACUGUUCUCCACUUCUUGGUGUGAUAAUUAUCUACGCCAUAGUGAAGAAGUAAAGUGUAGCUGCUUUCUAACCGUCCAUUUACUUGGACAACUUGAACCAUUUGACCUCAAAUCAGGUAGGACUACCCGCUGAACUUAAGCAUAUCAAUAAGCGGAGGAAAAGAAACUAACAAGGAUUCCCCUAGUAACUGCGAGUGAAGCGGGAAAAGCUCAAAUUUAAAAUCUGGCGGUUCUUGUAGCCGUCCGAGUUGUAAUUUAGAGAAGUGUUAUCCGCGCUGGACCG
The sequence is a ribosomal RNA, 650 nucleotides long. The stretch from base 112 to 265 matches the Rfam family "5.8S ribosomal RNA".